RNAcentral lists this ribosomal RNA (253 nucleotides) under uncultured bacterium. RNAcentral's name for it is "partial 16S ribosomal RNA". It matches the Rfam family "Bacterial small subunit ribosomal RNA", at positions 524 to 776 of the family's 1533-position model. The record is from RNAcentral.
UACGUAGGGGGCAAGCGUUGUCCGGAAUCAUUGGGCGUAAAGAGCGCGUAGGCGGUCCGGUAAGUCAGCUGUGAAAGUCAAGGGCUCAACCCUUGAAAGCCGGUUGAUACUGUCGGGCUAGAGUCCGGAAGAGGCGAGUGGAAUUCCCGGUGUAGCGGUGAAAUGCGCAGAUAUCGGGAGGAACACCAGUGGCGAAGGCGGCACUCUGGGCCGGUACUGACGCUGAGGAGCGAAAGCGUGGGGAGCGAACAGG